RNAcentral lists this long non-coding RNA (529 nucleotides) under Rattus norvegicus (Norway rat). RNAcentral describes it as "long non-coding RNA NONRATT020182". Lineage: Eukaryota; Metazoa; Chordata; Mammalia; Rodentia; Muridae. The record is from RNAcentral.
CAAUCUCCAGAACUACAACAACAACAGCAGCACAGCUGAAGGCGUGCUUUCUACCAUAGACUUUUCUUCUUUCAGGAAAUACGGUGGAAGGGGAGACAAACCGAAUGUGAGCGCCAGAAAGAAGAGGAGGAAAGGAGGAGAGCUACCUCAGGCUGUCUCUAAGCGCCACAUCGCAUUCAAAGUCAUGACAGUGCCGCAGCCACGCCCACCACAUUGGGUUGUCAACAGGAAAUCACGGAUUCCAAGGAACCCCAGCUCUCCUUGAUGAACUGUUGAAUACUGAUGAAUUCUGGAGGAGGGACCAGUCACUGUGUUCACUUGUGUUCCCAGGAGUAAGCCCUCAGGCUCCAUCGGAUAACCACCAACCCACUUUCACACAGAUGGCUCUGGUUAAGCUCAGGUGAAAAAGCAUGCAUGUGAAAAGGGACCUGUAGGGUAAUGACAGGAAUGGGAGGAAGAUAAGGGAGACAUCACAGCACAUUAUAAACAUAUUUGAAAUUGCCAAAGAAUAAACUUAAUUGGAGUUAUC